Molecule: ribosomal RNA, 254 nt
Filed under: uncultured bacterium
Lineage: Bacteria
Description: partial 16S ribosomal RNA
Rfam family: Bacterial small subunit ribosomal RNA
Source: RNAcentral
UACGGAGGGUGCAAGCGUUAUCCGGAUUCACUGGGUUUAAAGGGUGCGUAGGUGGGCAGGUAAGUCCGUGGUGAAAUCUCUGAGCUUAACUCAGAAACUGCCGUGGAUACUAUUUGUCUUGAAUGUUGUGGAGGUGAGCGGAAUAUGUCAUGUAGCGGUGAAAUGCUUAGAUAUGACAUAGAACACCAAUUGCGAAGGCAGCUUACUACACAGUUAUUGACGCUGAGGCACGAAAGCGUGGGGGAUCAAACAGG